This 82-nucleotide unclassified non-coding RNA is filed under the name Olleya namhaensis. Its description in RNAcentral is "Flavo-1 RNA". Lineage: Bacteria; Pseudomonadati; Bacteroidota; Flavobacteriia; Flavobacteriales; Flavobacteriaceae. The record is from RNAcentral.
AAUUUGCGUGAAGGAUUGCAGUGGAAAUCCCACAGCCCGACGCAGGAGGUGCGAGGAAUUGCAGCGAAAAGCCUGACCUUUA